GCAGUGGGAGCCUACUUGUUAGGUGACUGCGUACCUUUUGUAUAAUGGGUCAGCGACUUAUAUUCAGUGGCAAGCUUAACCGUAUAGGGUAGGCGUAGCGAAAGCGAGUCUUAAUAGGGCGUUUAGUCGCUGGGUAUAGACCCGAAACCGGGCGAUCUAUCCAUGAGCAGGUUGAAGGUUAGGUAACACUGACUGGAGGACCGAACCCACUCCCGUUGAAAAGGUAGGGGAUGACUUGUGGAUCGGAGUGAAAGGCUAAUCAAGCUCGGAGAUAGCUGGUUCUCCUCGAAAGCUAUUUAGGUAGCGCCUCAUGUAUCACUCUGGGGGGUAGAGCACUGUUUCGGCUAGGGGGUCAUCCCGACUUACCAAACCGAUGCAAACUCCGAAUACCCAGAUGUGC
Molecule: ribosomal RNA, 400 nt
Filed under: Klebsiella variicola
Lineage: Bacteria; Pseudomonadati; Pseudomonadota; Gammaproteobacteria; Enterobacterales; Enterobacteriaceae
Description: partial 23S ribosomal RNA
Rfam family: Bacterial large subunit ribosomal RNA
Source: RNAcentral